This 232-nucleotide ribosomal RNA is filed under the name uncultured bacterium. RNAcentral's name for it is "partial 16S ribosomal RNA". It matches the Rfam family "Bacterial small subunit ribosomal RNA", at positions 99 to 334 of the family's 1533-position model. The record is from RNAcentral.
CGGACGGGUGAGUAAUGUCUGGGAAACUGCCCGAUGGAGGGGGAUAACUACUGGAAACGGUAGCUAAUACCGCAUAAUGUCUGCGGACCAAAGCGGGGGACCUCCGGGCCUCACGCCAUCAGAUGAACCCAUAUGGGAUUAGCUAGUAGGUAAGGUAACGGCUUACCUAGGCGACGAUCCCUAGCUGGUCUGAGAGGAUGAUCAGCCACACUGGAACUGAGACACGGUCCAG